Molecule: long non-coding RNA, 940 nt
Filed under: Homo sapiens (human)
Lineage: Eukaryota; Metazoa; Chordata; Mammalia; Primates; Hominidae
Description: non-protein coding lnc-MEST-5:1
Source: RNAcentral
UGGUUGAACUAGUUUACAGUCCCACCAACAGUGUAAAAGUGUUCCUAUUUCUCCGCAUCCUCUCCAGCACCUGUUGUUUCCUGACUUUUUAAUGAUUGCCAUUCUAACUGGUGUGAGAUGAUAUCUCAUAGUGGUUUUGAUUUGCAUUUCUCUGAUGGCCAGUGAUGAUGAGCAUUUCUUCAUGUGUUUUUUGGCUGCAUAAAUGUCUUCUUUUGAGAAGUGUCUGUUCAUGUCCUUCGCCCACUUUUUGAUGGGGUUGUUUGUUUUUUUCUUGUAAAUUUGUUUGAGUUCAUUGUAGAUUCUGGAUAUUAGCCCUUUGUCAGAUAAGUAGGUUGCGAAAAUUUUCUCCCAUGUUGUAGGUUGCCUGUUCACUCUGAUGGUAGUUUCUUUUGCUGUGCAGAAGCUCUUUAGUUUAAUUAGAUCCCAUUUGUCAAUUGUUAACCUUUUAACUAAAAUAAAGUGUUUUUGCACAAAUUUAGUGAUUAUACCUGAGCUGGUUAAUGUGAGAGAAAUGAUCUUAAACAUGAGCUUACUCUCUUGUUGUGGAGGUAAGACAGACACAGGCUACAAUUUGAUAACCAAUAAAAUUGCUUUUGAUUAGUGCCAAAAUGUAUGGAGCAGAUAUUGAGUCCAGUAUUUGGAUAAGAUAAAAUAUCUUGGAAUAUUUUGGGACUAAUUUUAGGAUAGACAUAUCAUUUUUAGGAAUGUUUAUAACAGUCCCCAUCAGGAGAUAAUCCCUUCUAGAAGGUUUCUUAGAUUUGAACAGUCUUGUUUAAAAAGAUAAAAGCUCCUAGAGGGAGCUCACUAAAGGGAAUGUGGUUCCCUCUAGUGGUGGUAGAAGAAGUUGUGAAUUUUCUUAUUUAUUUCUUUUUUUCAUAUUUAUUCAUUGCAUCCUGAUACAUAGUAGUUCCUGUAUUAGAGAUACAGAAAUAAAAGACAC